UCAUUUUUCACACUAGCAACCACACUAUUCUUGCAUCAUUCACUUGCAUGCACAACACAAUAAAUAUAAAUAUUAACCAUUUUAUUUUCCAAUGAACCACUAAGGGUGGGUUCAGCCUUUCAUAUUAACAUAUAUACAACAAGCCUCCUAAAAAAAUGUACAAGCGUAUAUAAUGCAAACAAGUUGAUAUAUCCAGCUGGUUCACCUUUCACUGCAGAAUCUCAACUGCAGCUAAAGUUUCCUUCAUUUUCUUGAAAGUCUUUUUCAAAAAAUAGGCAACAUUUACACUCUACUGCCUAGGACGAAAUGUAUACCUGUCAGGGACCUAGUCAGAGUACAUAGGACUGAGUACGUGCGAGGGAGAAAGGGUGUGAAUGAUGGACGUUUCCUGAAUGCGUGUCUUUUAGAUGUUAAAGAAAACAAAGAGAGAUCGAGUGACUGGAAAGGGAGAGAUGAGUCAGCGAUGCGAGAUUGGGGGAAAGAGCAAUUAAGGAGGUGAAAUUGGAUGUUUAUACUUGUGGGAAGGAGGUAUUGUGUUGUUUGGUUGUUUUUUGUUUUUUUUUCUUUAAAGUGAGAAGUCACUGCCGAGACAGUGUACUUUAGGAAGGAGAAGGGAUACGGAGAUUGGUGUGGACGCAUCAUUCGCAGUAGCGAGCCAUUGCUAAGACAGUGAGCUUUAAUAGUGUGUAGUAGAGACAGUGGAUUUUUGUGACUGUGUUAGAAGAACAUUACAGUCUGUUUUAAUAGUGUGUAAGGAGUGCAGUGCACUUCGUCAAUGUGUUAGUAGAAAAGAAGAGCCAUUGUGUUAGCGACUGUGUGUUUUGAUUAGUAAACACAGACUCAUACAUCAGGCAAAUCAUUGUUUUAUUGGAGAGAAAGAACGCGCAAUUGUCUGACCCCGCUGGUGUGUUCGGAAGAGUGUGAACGAGACACUAUACGAGGUACGUGUCGCGACAAUACCAUGACAAGCUUUGAAAGGGUCGUCAACCGAUCAAAUAAAUAAUUCAAUUCAAUACUUAUUUUCCUUUCCUCAUAAGCAAGAUAUCAAUAUUCGGCUUGUACUCCGUGCUUACAUGUAAGGUCUAUGUGUGCAUUCCACCCAAGUUUUGAGUGCGACGUGUAUGUAAGCUAGUGUUCACUGUAGUAUUAUUACUUUAUUUUCCAGUUGCUAUGUAUACUUUGUUUCUUACACUCUGAAUCUGGAAAAUGUUAAGUCAUGUCCUAACCCUGACAGUAUGUUCAGUUGGAAACUGUUUCACUUCAACUUUCUAAAAGCCAACACCAAGUACUCCGCUUUCAAAGACAUUUUAUUGCUCGUUUUAUUGCCUGUGAACUCCGCUUUACCUCGGGGCCAGGGUAGCAAUUAGGGAAAACUGACCGCUUGUGUAAGUCAGCAACGUGUACUCCUACCUUUCCUUUCACGGGCAACAAUACCAUCGGCCAGUGCCCUACUUCCCACGCUGAGACACGGCGAGUGAUGAGACAGGGUGGCGGCUGCGUCUUCCUAGAAAGAGGCGGCCUUAGCAGCAGUACGCGGUGCCCUGCUGUUUGGUCCUACGCGAGGGCCGAGAGCCGUAAGUGUAGGCUGCACACCGUACCACAAGAAUCUCCUAUCGCGGGCCUCCAUUACUAGUUAGCAGGCUAGUUAGCAGUCGUCACCCUGCAUCGUUCACCAAAGAGGUUCAUAGUUUGACAUUGAUUAUGAUUACUCUCCAGGAGGAGAGUGGGCCGAUCCUGGAGGUACUGCAAUACCAGGCCGACCCGUGACAGAGGUGGAGCAAGCCCCUAACACUCCGUCAUGUUUCAAAAAUCAGUUUAAUAUCGAAGUCCCCCAAUGGAGGACGUAUCAGAUAUUAAGCUGAUAAGAACAGAUACUACACUUUGAUCUUAGCCAAAAGGCCGAGAAGCGAUAACCAGAAUGUGCCAGACAUUCAUGACAGUAUCGUCUGGCUUUCCGUCACAUUCGGGUUUGGCAAACUAGCAUGCCAUUUAAGCAGCUUUCAAUGUAGAAAGUCGCCAUGCUUUUAAGAAAUUGCAUGAAAUUCUGACUGCAAAUACUAUCUUCAAAGAUUUACCGUAUUUCUGCAGCUACGUUGUCACUAUGAAAUAGCGGAGCAACGUUCAGGGGUUAAAACUGCAGCUGUCUUCUCCGAGCGACACAAGGGAAACAACACGAGUGAGUGAGUCCCUCGCUAGCUUUGCAA
Molecule: long non-coding RNA, 2204 nt
Filed under: Pomacea canaliculata
Lineage: Eukaryota; Metazoa; Mollusca; Gastropoda; Architaenioglossa; Ampullariidae
Description: uncharacterized LOC112563628
Source: RNAcentral